CGGGGGGGGCAAGCGUUGUUCGGAAUUACUGGGCGUAAAGGGCUCGUAGGUGGCCAACUAAGUCGGACGUGAAAUCCCUCGGCUUAACCGGGGAACUGCGUCCGAUACUGGUUGGCUUGAGUUUGGGAGAGGGAUGCGGAAUUCCAGGUGUAGCGGUGAAAUGCGUAGAUAUCUGGAGGAACACCGGUGGCGAAGGCGGCAUCCUGGGCCAAUACUGACGCUGAGGAGCGAAAGCCAGGGGAGCAAACGGGAUUAGAUACCCCGGUAGUCCUGGCCCUAAACGAUGAAUGCUUGGUGUGGCGGGUAUCGAUCCCUGCCGUGCCGAAGCUAACGCAUUAAGCAUUCCGCCUGGGGAGUACGGUCGCAUGGCUG
RNAcentral lists this ribosomal RNA (372 nucleotides) under uncultured organism. RNAcentral's name for it is "bacterial SSU rRNA". It matches the Rfam family "Bacterial small subunit ribosomal RNA", at positions 526 to 896 of the family's 1533-position model. The record is from RNAcentral.